AUGGGGAUAGUCUGUUUCCAAGUAGCAAAAGAUUGCAAUGACAUUCUCAACUCAUGGUCAAUGAACCUGGAGAAGCUGCUUGAUCUUGUUGAGAAGAGUUGCCAUCAAAUACACAAAGAAACCAUGGUACAUAAAGCUGCUCUCAAAGUUUGAAAGGUUGAUUUAGCAAUCUGUGUGCUGGUUGGCCUAGUUGGAGCUUUCCCUUUGUGGACUAGUGAAAAAAAA
RNAcentral lists this unclassified non-coding RNA (225 nucleotides) under Hevea brasiliensis (rubber tree). The record is from RNAcentral. Lineage: Eukaryota; Viridiplantae; Streptophyta; Magnoliopsida; Malpighiales; Euphorbiaceae.